AUUGAACGCUGGCGGUAUACUUAACACAUGCAAGUCGAACGGCAGCAUGGUCUAGCUUGCUAGACUGAUGGCGAGUGGCGGACGGGUGAGUAACGCGUAGGAAUAUGCCUUGAAGAGUGGGACAACUUGGGGAAACUCAAGCUAAUACCGCAUGUACUCGAGAGAGUAAAGCUGGGGACCUUUAGGCCUGGCGCUUUAAGAUUAACCUGCGUCCGAUUAGCUAGUUGGUAGGGUAAAGGCCUACCAAGGCGACGAUCGGUAGCUGGUCUGAGAGGAUGAUCAGCCACACUGGAACUGAGAGACGGUCCAGACUCCUACGGGAGGCAGCAGUGGGGAAUAUUGGACAAUGGGGGGAACCCUGAUCCAGCAAUGCCGCGUGUGUGAAGAAGGCCUGAGGGUUGUAAAGCACUUUCAGUGGGGAGGAGGUUUGGAAGGUUAAGAGCUAUUCAAAUGGACGUUACCCACAGAAGAAGCACCGGCUAACUCCGUGCCAGCCGCCGCGGUAA
This 506-nucleotide ribosomal RNA is filed under the name uncultured bacterium. Its description in RNAcentral is "partial 16S ribosomal RNA". It matches the Rfam family "Bacterial small subunit ribosomal RNA", at positions 30 to 523 of the family's 1533-position model. The record is from RNAcentral.